GGCCUCCAGGUGCUUAGCACAGGCUGUAUUCUUACAUUGUAUAUAGAAAGAGGAGGCAGAGUAAACCUACCCCGUAUGCACCUCAGCAGGCCCAGUGCCUGGUCUGUAUUGUGAGUGAGGAGAAAUGC
Molecule: small nucleolar RNA, 128 nt
Organism: Perognathus longimembris pacificus (Pacific pocket mouse)
Lineage: Eukaryota; Metazoa; Chordata; Mammalia; Rodentia; Heteromyidae
Product: small nucleolar RNA SNORA51
Exons: 1
Source: RefSeq, a predicted model, not a curated record